This 504-nucleotide ribosomal RNA is filed under the name uncultured bacterium. RNAcentral's name for it is "partial 16S ribosomal RNA". It matches the Rfam family "Bacterial small subunit ribosomal RNA", at positions 30 to 523 of the family's 1533-position model. The record is from RNAcentral.
AUUGAACGCUGGCGGCAGGCUUAACACAUGCAAGUCGAGCGGGGUGAUGGUGCUUGCACUAUCACUUAGCGGCGGACGGGUGAGUAAUGCUUAGGAAUCUGCCUAUUAGUGGGGGACAACAUCUCGAAAGGGAUGCUAAUACCGCAUACGUCCUACGGGAGAAAGCAGGGGAUCACUUGUGACCUUGCGCUAAUAGAUGAGCCUAAGUCGGAUUAGCUAAGUUGGUGGGGUAAAGGCCUACCAAGGCGACGAUCUGUAGCGGGUCUGAGAGGAUGAUCCGCAACGCAGGGACUGAGACACGGCCCAGACUCCUACGGGAGGCAGCAGUGGGGAAUAUUGGACAAUGGGGGGAACCCUGAUCCAGCCAUGCCGCGUGUGUGAAGAAGGCCUUAUGGUUGUAAAGCACUUUAAGCGAGGAGGAGGCUCUUUUGGUUAAUACCCAAGAUGAGUGGACGUUACUCGCAGAAUAAGCACCGGCUAACUCUGUGCCAGCAGCCGCCGUAA